RNAcentral lists this unclassified non-coding RNA (470 nucleotides) under Zea mays. RNAcentral's name for it is "misc RNA Zm00001eb337160". The record is from RNAcentral. Lineage: Eukaryota; Viridiplantae; Streptophyta; Magnoliopsida; Poales; Poaceae.
CCACGUACACCGGUGAAUCUGGUAACUGCUAUAGGCUAUAGCCAUUGCCGCAGGGGGGCUGGGCAAGAGCAGAACCAGCUAUCCUUUCUUGCGUCUGAGAUUGGUUUCUACCGAUGCAGCGCAGGGGGUGGCGGUGAUCCAUAUUGAACUGGGUGUACUGAUGGCCAUGGAUGGUGCUGCUGUGGGGGAGGAGGCGAUGCAUAUCGGACAGGGUUUGUGGGUGGCAAUGGGCCGGGGUAAUAUGGUGGUGGCGGUGGCGGUGGCCAUGGAUGUGUUGGGGUGCAGGGCAGCGGUGGCGGCAGGACGGGGCAUGGCGGGCACUGUGGUGGAGGGUGAUAGACUGGCGCUGGAGGAGGCGGGGAUGGUGGAGGUGGGGAAUGCGGUAGUGGUGAUGGUGGUGGUGGUGACGGCAGAAGUUGAGGUGGCGGUGGUGAAGGCAGCGGCGGUGGCGGCAGAGGAGGAGACAGAAG